This 102-nucleotide transfer RNA is filed under the name Candidatus Bathyarchaeota archaeon. RNAcentral's name for it is "tRNA-Leu". It matches the Rfam family "tRNA". From Rfam's summary of the family: Transfer RNA (tRNA) molecules are approximately 80 nucleotides in length. Their secondary structure includes four short double-helical elements and three loops (D, anti-codon, and T loops). Lineage: Archaea; Thermoproteati; Candidatus Bathyarchaeota. The record is from RNAcentral.
GCGGCGGUAGCCAAGCCAGGUCAAAAGGUAGUGACCAAAGGCGAAGGACUCAAGAUCCUUUCCCAUAGGGGUUCGCUGGUUCGAAUCCGGCCCGCCGCACCA